RNAcentral lists this ribosomal RNA (549 nucleotides) under uncultured Comamonadaceae bacterium. RNAcentral describes it as "bacterial SSU rRNA". It matches the Rfam family "Bacterial small subunit ribosomal RNA", at positions 355 to 897 of the family's 1533-position model. The record is from RNAcentral. Lineage: Bacteria; Pseudomonadati; Pseudomonadota; Betaproteobacteria; Burkholderiales; Comamonadaceae.
UGGGGAAUUUUGGACAAUGGGCGCAAGCCUGAUCCAGCCAUUCCGCGUGCAGGAUGAAGGCCCUCGGGUUGUAAACUGCUUUUGUACGGAACGAAACGGCGCUUUCUAAUACAGAGUGCUAAUGACGGUACCGUAAGAAUAAGCACCGGCUAACUACGUGCCAGCAGCCGCGGUAAUACGUAGGGUGCAAGCGUUAAUCGGAAUUACUGGGCGUAAAGCGUGCGCAGGCGGUGAUGUAAGACAGAUGUGAAAUCCCCGGGCUCAACCUGGGAACUGCAUUUAUGACUGCAUCGCUGGAGUGCGGCAGAGGGGGAUGGAAUUCCGCGUGUAGCAGUGAAAUGCGUAGAUAUGCGGAGGAACACCGAUGGCGAAGGCAAUCCCCUGGGCCUGCACUGACGCUCAUGCACGAAAGCGUGGGGAGCAAACAGGAUUAGAUACCCUGGUAGUCCACGCCCUAAACGAUGUCAACUGGUUGUUGGGUCUUCACUGACUCAGUAACGAAGCUAACGCGUGAAGUUGACCGCCUGGGGAGUACGGCCGCAAGGUUGA